This 492-nucleotide ribosomal RNA is filed under the name uncultured bacterium. RNAcentral's name for it is "partial 16S ribosomal RNA". It matches the Rfam family "Bacterial small subunit ribosomal RNA", at positions 30 to 507 of the family's 1533-position model. The record is from RNAcentral.
AUUGAACGCUGGCGGCAUGCUUUACACAUGCAAGUCGAACGGUAACAGGCCUUCGGGUGCUGACGAGUGGCGAACGGGUGAGUAAUGCAUCGGAACGUGCCCAGAGGUGGGGGAUAACGCAGCGAAAGCUGUGCUAAUACCGCAUGUGAUCUGAGGAUGAAAGCGGGGGACCAGGCAGCAAUGUUUGGCCUCGCGCCUUUGGAGCGGCCGAUGUCAGAUUAGGUAGUUGGUGGGGUAAAGGCCUACCAAGCCGACGAUCUGUAGCUGGUCUGAGAGGACGACCAGCCACACUGGGACUGAGACACGGCCCAGACUCCUACGGGAGGCAGCAGUGGGGAAUGUUGGACAAUGGGCGCAAGCCUGAUCCAGCAAUGCCGCGUGCGAGAAGAAGGCCUUCGGGUUGUAAACCGCUUUUGUACGGAACGAAAAGGCUCUGGCUAAUACCUGGGGCUGAUGACGGUACCGUAAGAAUAAGCACCGGCUAACUACGUG